GAUGAACGCUGGCGGCGUGCCUAAUACAUGCAAGUCGAGCGAACUUUUGGGAGCUUGCUCCCAAAAGUUAGCGGCGGACGGGUGAGUAACACGUGGGUAACCUGCCUGUAAGACUGGGAUAACUUCGGGAAACCGGAGCUAAUACCGGAUAACAUUGAAGCCCACAUGGCCUUCAAUUAAAAGGUGGCUUUUAGCUACCACUUACAGAUGGACCCGCGGCGCAUUAGCUAGUUGGUGAGGUAACGGCUCACCAAGGCGACGAUGCGUAGCCGACCUGAGAGGGUGAUCGGCAACACUGGGACUGAGACACGGCCCAGACUCCUACGGGAGGCAGCAGUAGGGAAUCUUCCGCAAUGGACGAAAGUCUGACGGAGCAACGCCGCGUGAGCGAAGAAGGCCUUCGGGUCGUAAAGCUCUGUUGUUAGGGAAGAACAAGUAUCGUUCGAAUAGGGCGGUACCUUGACGGUACCUAACCAGAAAGCCACGGCUAACUACGUG
This 498-nucleotide ribosomal RNA is filed under the name uncultured bacterium. RNAcentral's name for it is "partial 16S ribosomal RNA". It matches the Rfam family "Bacterial small subunit ribosomal RNA", at positions 28 to 507 of the family's 1533-position model. The record is from RNAcentral.